CAGCCGUAAACAAUGUGCGUUAGGUGUGUCGGUAACCACGCGUUACUGAUGCGCCGAAGAGAAAUCGUGAAACGCACCACCUGGGAAGUACGGUCGCAAGGCUGAAACUUAAAGGAAUUGGCGGGGGAGCACCACAACAGGUGGAGCCUGCGGUUUAAUUCGGAUUCAACGCCGGACAUCUCACCGGAUAAGACAGCUGAAUGAUUGUCAAUCUGAAGGUUUUACAUGACUAGCUGAGAGGAGGUGCAUGGCGUCAGUGACU
RNAcentral lists this ribosomal RNA (262 nucleotides) under uncultured archaeon. RNAcentral describes it as "partial 16S ribosomal RNA". It matches the Rfam family "Archaeal small subunit ribosomal RNA", at positions 748 to 1008 of the family's 1478-position model. The record is from RNAcentral.